Molecule: ribosomal RNA, 407 nt
Filed under: uncultured bacterium
Lineage: Bacteria
Description: partial 16S ribosomal RNA
Rfam family: Bacterial small subunit ribosomal RNA
Source: RNAcentral
GACGAACGCUGGCGGCGUGCUUAACACAUGCAAGUCGAACGAAGUGGCGAACGGGUGAGUAACGCGUAAUCAACCUGCCCUUCAGAGGGGGACAACAGUUGGAAACGACUGCUAAUACCGCAUACUGAAGGAGGGGAUUGCGUCUGAUUAGCUAGUUGGAGGGGUAACGGCCCACCAAGCCUUCGAUGGCUAGGGGUUCUGAGAGGAAAGUCCCCCACAUUGGAACUGAGACACGGUCCAACCUCCUACGGGAGGCAGCAGUGGGGAAUAUUGCACAAUGGGCGCAAGCCUGAUGCAGCCAUGCCGCGUGUAUGAAGAAGGCCCUAGGGUUGUAAAGUACUUUCAGUCGGGAGCGUUACCGACAGAAGAAGCACCGGCUAACUCCGUGCCAGCCGCCGCGGUAAUUC